UGUGAGAGGGGGCUUGCUCCCGAUAGCAGUGGGUCAGCCAGCAGAUGUAUGGGCUGACAGCCCGCUAUCGGGAGCAAGCCCCCUCCCACA
This 90-nucleotide unclassified non-coding RNA is filed under the name Pseudomonas trivialis. Lineage: Bacteria; Pseudomonadati; Pseudomonadota; Gammaproteobacteria; Pseudomonadales; Pseudomonadaceae. The record is from RNAcentral.